ACGACCUUACUUGAACAGGAUCUGUUCUAUAGGCUCGUACUUCUGCAUCCUUUAUCACUAAGGAGACAGGAACCUAAAUCUGGUGGAAGAAUCUUGACCGUUGGAUCAGAGCGUGAUUAAUGGCUAUGUGAUUCUUUGCGAUCAUAAGGCUGUAGAGGAUCGUUUCCUUCAAGCUUUGGCUGGGAGGGAUGAUCCUUCGGUUGUCUGACAGAUU
Mercurialis annua (annual mercury) is the source of this 214-nucleotide small nucleolar RNA. RefSeq annotates it as small nucleolar RNA U3. Lineage: Eukaryota; Viridiplantae; Streptophyta; Magnoliopsida; Malpighiales; Euphorbiaceae. The transcript has a single exon. The record is from RefSeq and is a predicted model, not a curated record.